Molecule: ribosomal RNA, 409 nt
Filed under: bacterium
Lineage: Bacteria
Description: partial 16S ribosomal RNA
Rfam family: Bacterial small subunit ribosomal RNA
Source: RNAcentral
UGGGGAAUAUUGCACAAUGGGCGAAAGCCUGAUGCAGCGACGCCGCGUGAGGGAUUACGGCCUUCGGGUUGUAAACCUCUUUCAGUAGGGACGAAGCGCAAGUGACGGUACCUGCAGAAGAAGCACCGGCUAACUACGUGCCAGCAGCCGCGGUAAUACGUAGGGUGCGAGCGUUGUCCGGAAUUACUGGGCGUAAAGAGCUCGUAGGCGGUUUGUCACGUCGUCUGUGAAAUCCUAGGGCUUAACCCUGGACGUGCAGGCGAUACGGGCUGACUUGAGUACUACAGGGGAGACUGGAAUUUCUGGUGUAGCGGUGGAAUGCACAGAUAUCAGGAAGAACACCGAUGGCGAAGGCAGGUCUCUGGGUAGUAACUGACGCUGAGGAGCGAAAGCAUGGGUAGCGAACAGG